Notolabrus celidotus (New Zealand spotty) is the source of this 569-nucleotide long non-coding RNA. RefSeq lists it as uncharacterized. The transcript has 2 exons. The record is from RefSeq and is a predicted model, not a curated record. Lineage: Eukaryota; Metazoa; Chordata; Actinopteri; Labriformes; Labridae.
CCAUCACAGCCGAUGUGUUUUCAAUGAAUACACACAUUUAGAAAUCAGCUGGCAAUCGCAGCAGCUCCAGAAGUGAAAUCUUAGGAAUAAAAACACACGACAGUUUUUCAAUCACGCUUCAAAUCAGCUGGUAACACAUCGGUAGUGGAACAAGUUGUCAGACCCGGUAACCGCAAGUUGCCUCAGACUAGCUUGGUGACGACGUUAGCAAAACUGUCAGUUGCUGUCGGUUAACCAACAACAGCGGGAUGAAAUAAAGAAGUUUGCCAUAAAGAUCAAAGUCAUUUUCCAAAAUGCAUUUUUAACAAAAGGGCCAUGGAGGACUGCCGUGUUAUGGAAUGAGCUCUCCCCUACGCCUCGGCGUCCCAGGUCCAAAAGAGAGAGAGAGGGAGGGAGAAAGAGAGAGAGAGAGAGUGCUGCUGCUUAGCUCCUGCUUCAGCACGCCGACUACUGUUUCAAAAACAGAUUGGGUUGUUGGUUUUGAGAUGGAAUGUCACAGCCUCUUCUCCUCUGGUUGGGGAAUUACCUUCACCAAGGGAACAGACUAAAUAAAUGUGUCUGUGUUUUGU